GGUUGAUCCUGCCGGAGGUCACUGCUAUUGGGAUUCGACUAAGCCAUGCGAGUCGCGAGGGUUCGGCCCUCGGCUGACGGCUCAGUAACACGCGGAUAAUCUGCCCUUAGGUGGAGGAUAAUCUCGGGAAACUGAGAAUAAUAUUCCAUAGAUUUAGGAUGCUGGAAUGCACUUAAAUUAAAAGCUUCGGCGCCUAAGGAUGAGUCUGCGGACUAUCAGGUUGUAGUCAGGGUAACGACCUGACUAGCCUACGACGGAUACGGGUUGUGAGAGCAAUAACCCGGAGAUGAUAUCUGAGACACGAUAUCAGGCCCUACGGGGCGCAGCAGGCGCGAAAACUUCGCAAUGUGCGAAAGCACGACGAGGGAAUCCCAAGUGCUGGCUCGUUAGAGUCAGCUGU
Molecule: ribosomal RNA, 400 nt
Filed under: uncultured archaeon
Lineage: Archaea
Description: bacterial SSU rRNA
Rfam family: Archaeal small subunit ribosomal RNA
Source: RNAcentral